RNAcentral lists this small nucleolar RNA (200 nucleotides) under Marmota marmota marmota (Alpine marmot). Its description in RNAcentral is "Small nucleolar RNA U3". It matches the Rfam family "Small nucleolar RNA U3". Rfam says of the family: Small nucleolar RNAs (snoRNAs) are involved in the processing and modification of rRNA in the nucleolus. There are two main classes of snoRNAs: the box C/D class, and the box H/ACA class. The record is from Rfam by way of RNAcentral. Lineage: Eukaryota; Metazoa; Chordata; Mammalia; Rodentia; Sciuridae. RNAcentral also lists the same sequence under 1 other name.
AGGGGCCUAUUUCAUUAAAACUGACCCCUCCCUUCCUGUUCUUAAAGAGGUAAACCAAAACAUCCUCUUUGUUGAUAUCAAAAUCAAAGUAGUGUGAAGCCAACUCUUGGUGUUGCUUUGCUGCAACUGCUAGUUGCUACAGAUGAUCAUUCUUAUCUUCCUUCAGUGGAGCAACAGGGGGAGGAUAUCAUCAGAGAGGU